RNAcentral lists this ribosomal RNA (886 nucleotides) under Peripatoides sp. NZAC03005978. RNAcentral describes it as "SSU rRNA". It matches the Rfam family "Eukaryotic small subunit ribosomal RNA", at positions 53 to 828 of the family's 1831-position model. Lineage: Eukaryota; Metazoa; Onychophora; Udeonychophora; Euonychophora; Peripatopsidae. The record is from RNAcentral.
GCACGUCUAAGUACUCGCCUUGUCUAUUAAAGUGAAACCGCGAAUGGCUCAUUAAAUCAGUUAUGGUUCACUAGAUCGUACCUCAUCCUACUCGGAUAACUGUGGUAAUUCUAGAGCUAAUACAUGCAACUAGGCCCUGCCCGGCCGCCUUCACGGGUGGUCGGAAAGGGCGCCAUUAUCAGCCCAAAACCGACCGGGUUGCCCCUUGGGGCUCCCGUCCUUAUACCCUUUGACGACUCUGGAUAACCUUCUAGCGGAUCGCCGGUAAACUAGGUCGGCCGGGCGGUGACGUCCGCGUCCGACCUACGGCGACUAGUCUUUCGAAUGUCUGCCUUAUCAACUGUCGACGGUAGGUUAGACGCCUACCGUGGUCGUAACGGGUGACGGGGAAUCAGGGUUCGAUUCCGGAGAGGGAGCCUGAGAAACGGCUACCACAUCCAAGGAAGGCAGCAGGCACGCAAAUUACCCAAUCCCUGCACGGGGAGGUAGUGACGAAAAAUAACGAUACGGGACUCUUAACGAGGCCUCGUAAUCGGAAUGAGUCCGCUCUAAAUCCUUUAACGAGGAUCUAUCGGAGGGCAAGUCUGGUGCCAGCAGCCGCGGUAAUUCCAGCUCCGAUAGCGUAUAUUAAAGUUGCUGCGGUUAAAAAGCUCGUAGUUGGAUUUGGGUUUUCGGGCCGGCGGGCCGCCGCCUUCGAGCGGCGCGUUUCCCGCCGCGCCCCCGGAACCGCACGGUCGCAGAGGCCCCCGCGGUGCUCUUGAGUGAGUGUCCGCGGUCUCGGGUCGCCGAACGUUUACUUUGAAAAAAUUAGAGUGCUCCACGCAGGCCGGUAAAGCGUUUUUAAACCCGCGCCUGAAUAGUCACGCAUGGAAUAAUGAAAGAGGAC